CCCCUUUUAAAAGCACUCCGUGGGCCUUUUGCUAAUGACCCACUGAGCUGUCAAGAAAGGUCAAAGUAAAAACACCACUUUUGGCCCUAACCGGUUUGGCUCAGUGGAUAAAG
This is a small nucleolar RNA of Myotis myotis, 113 nucleotides long. NCBI's taxonomy places the organism in Eukaryota, Metazoa, Chordata, Mammalia, Chiroptera, Vespertilionidae. The record is from RefSeq and is a predicted model, not a curated record.